CUACAGUCACAAGCAGCCGUACACACUACAGCUUUCUACAGGGAGCAGAGAGCACAAAGCUACAGCCACAAAAGUGUUUGUGAAGACAUACAGCUAAAGGAAAACUAUGACGAGGGUCAGUCGUCAAACUCUGAUAACAUGUCUGCUGUUAUUCUGUGCAGUAACAAAACAGAUAGUAACCUCCACAGCACCACCUUCAACUUCUGCAAGCCUUAACGAGACAUCAACAGCAGGUGUCACUGAAAACACCAGCACCACUGACCUCACCCAAAGCACCAACACAGCCACUACUCCCACAAGCACCACCACCCAAACAAACAGCACCACUGACAUCGCCCAAAACACCAGCACAGCCAUUACUUCCACAAGCGCCACCCAAACAAACAGCACCACUGACAUCGCCCAAAACACCAGCACAGCCAUUACUCCCACAAGCGCCACCCAAACAAACAGCACCACUGACAUUGCCCAAAACACCAGCACAGCCAUUACUCCCACAAGCGCCACCCAAACAAACAGCACCACUGACAUCGCUCAAAGCACCAGCACAGCCAUUACUCCCACGAGCGCCACCCAAACAAACAGCACCACUGACAUCGCCCAAAACACCAGCACAGCCAUUACUCCCACGAGCGCCACCCAAACAUACAGCACCACCGACAUCGCCCAAACCACCAACACAACAAUCACCUUAAGCACUUUAAAUGCAAGUAUUCAAACAAUCCGAGAAACUACUACCACUCCUGGAUUCACCACCCCUCCAAGAUCCACCACGAAGGGUACCACUGUGGGGCAAGAUGAACACAAGCCCAAAGGUCUAAGCUCAGGUAUGGAGUAUUGCUCAGAUAUAGUUAUCCUUUCUGUUUCAUGCAUUUCCUUUCCUUUCCCAAUCGAUCCCACAACAAUUCUGCUACAUGACAUUAAGUCGGAAACCAGUGUAUCUUCACUGACAAGAGGACAUCAAGACUGAAAAAUGUCAUCUAACAUCAAAAGCCUGAAUGCAAAAAUGGUAUCAAUAACCAGAGCUUGAUUAGACAGUAUCAUGUAGAUUUUUAUCAUAGUUUAGCA
Molecule: long non-coding RNA, 1068 nt
Organism: Astatotilapia calliptera (eastern happy)
Lineage: Eukaryota; Metazoa; Chordata; Actinopteri; Cichliformes; Cichlidae
Source: Ensembl